CCUACGGGAGGCAGCAGUAGGGAAUCUUUCACAAUGGGCGAAAGCCUGAUGGAGCAACGCCGCGUGCAGGAUGAAGGCCUUCGGGUUGUAAACUGCUUUUAUAAGCGAGAAAUAUGAUGGUAACUUAUGAAUAAGGAUCGGCUAACUACGUGCCAGCAGCCGCGGUAAUACGAAGGGUGCGAGCGUUGUUCGGAAUUACUGGGCGUAAAGGGAGUGUAGGCGGAUAUGUAAGAUAGCGGUGAAAUGCCGGGGCUCAACCCCGGAACUGCCAUUAUGACUAUGUAUCUAGAGUAAUGGAGAGGAUAGCGGAAUACCCAGUGUAGAGGUGAAAUUCGUAGAUAUUGGGUAGAACACCGGUGGCGAAGGCGGCUAUCUGGCCAUUUACUGACGCUGAGGCUCGAAAGCAUGGGGAUCAAACAGGAUUAGAUACCCGGGUAGUC
RNAcentral lists this ribosomal RNA (440 nucleotides) under uncultured bacterium. RNAcentral describes it as "partial 16S ribosomal RNA". It matches the Rfam family "Bacterial small subunit ribosomal RNA", at positions 338 to 795 of the family's 1533-position model. The record is from RNAcentral.